GGGUCAGUAGGUUGGUCGUGCCACCGGUACGUACUGGUCUCACUGAUUCCUCCUUCCUGAAGAACCGUAAUGCCAUUAAUUUGGUGUUGCGGGGAAACAGGACUGUUACUUUGAAAAAAUUAGAGUGUUUAAAGCAAGCUAACGCUUGAAUACAUUAGCAUGGAAUAAUGAAAUAGGACGAUCGAUCCUAUUUUGUUGGAUUCUAGGAUUGACGUA
This 216-nucleotide ribosomal RNA is filed under the name Glomeromycotina sp. RNAcentral's name for it is "partial small subunit ribosomal RNA". The stretch from base 40 to 216 matches the Rfam family "Eukaryotic small subunit ribosomal RNA", at positions 686 to 864 of the family's 1831-position model. Lineage: Eukaryota; Fungi; Glomeromycota. The record is from RNAcentral.